AUGCUCAACAAUUUUGUUUCAAAUGGGAGGAAUUGCGCCGGAGAUCUUGGCCAUAACACUAUCCAGAAGGUGAAUGGCACAUUGCGCAUGAUGGCAUAUGGUGUUCCGGCUGAUUUCAUUGAUAAUAACUUGACAAUGGGAAAGAGCACUUCAAUCUUGCGCGUCAAUAAAUUUGCGAAGGCGGUGGUUAAAGUGUUUGGAGCAGAGUAUUUGAGAGCAUCGAAUGCUCAUGACACUCAAAGAAUUUUGGAGAUGAACAAAACACGUGGGUUUCUAUGCUUGGAUCAAUUGAUUGGAUGCACUGAAGGUUGA
This 312-nucleotide ribosomal RNA is filed under the name Triticum aestivum (bread wheat). RNAcentral describes it as "partial small subunit ribosomal RNA". Lineage: Eukaryota; Viridiplantae; Streptophyta; Magnoliopsida; Poales; Poaceae. The record is from RNAcentral.